Astyanax mexicanus (Mexican tetra) is the source of this 1020-nucleotide long non-coding RNA. RefSeq lists it as uncharacterized. The transcript has 3 exons. Lineage: Eukaryota; Metazoa; Chordata; Actinopteri; Characiformes; Acestrorhamphidae. The record is from RefSeq and is a predicted model, not a curated record.
AUAAUUUUUAAAUGUAUAUUAAAGUGGCAGUAAAUGAAAAAUCCAAGUAGAUAUUUGAGAAUCACGCUUUAUAAACUGCUGGCCGGAGGAAGUGGGGGCGUGUAGCUAACGUUACGUGUUUUGGUGCAUGUCUGGAGCUUUAUAUUCCAGCAUGAAGCAGUACACUUUAUCAGCAAAAAAGCGUCUGGCCAAGCCGCUGCUGUUCGGCGCUUUACUCACAGGACUUGCAACAGCGUUCUAUAACAGGCAUUUGUUCUUUGAAGACCUGGCAGAAAUUCGGGAGCAGGAGCGAGCUCGCACUGAUGCCAAACUUUUAGAAGUGUUAGAAAGAAGACAGAAACAAAUGGAAGAGCUGGAGUCAAAGAAAAGUGCUGGGGACAGGUGAGCUUAUCACACACCUCCAGGCAAAGGUAAUCAGAGUGACACUGACGGGGGUUAGGAGUUUAAGUUUUGUGAUGAACUGAAAAAUUUAUGACAGCUAUAAAGAAAAAUGGUGAAUUAGGAAUAAAAAAAGAAGUCAACAGAAGGACCUUCAAUUUUCUGUGGACUGGAAGCUCAAUUUGACUCUGGACACCUCCUCACUACUGAAGUGUAAUCACAGGAUUGAAGAUCUGAAGAUUCCCAAGACAGGCGAACAAAAACAAACUGUAUUACUGUUGGUUAUGUGAGUUCCUAAUUUGUUUAAUAUAUAAGCUUAAAUAAGAUGCAUUUUCUCUCUCAGUGUAAAACAUUAACUCACAAUAAAGAUAAGUGUUAUAGUGUGUUCCAUGAUGAAUGCUUCUUUUGAAGUGCAUUUCCUCUGCCUAUUAUCUGCCCAAUAAUGGGAUUACAGUGUACAAAAUCAGAAUACUGCUUACAUUUAAUUUCUGUAAGAAUAUCUACAAGUAAAAAUCUAAAAUAUACAUGAAAGUGUUUUGAGCAAAAGCUGAACAUUUUCAGUGAAAGAUGAAUGUAAAUGUUCACAUUAGUGAGAAAAUGGAAAUGUUUGUAUGUUUUUAAAAUAAAGAAAUCAACUCUUUA